This 346-nucleotide ribosomal RNA is filed under the name uncultured Cochliobolus. RNAcentral describes it as "SSU rRNA". It matches the Rfam family "Eukaryotic small subunit ribosomal RNA", at positions 20 to 370 of the family's 1831-position model. The record is from RNAcentral. Lineage: Eukaryota; Fungi; Ascomycota; Dothideomycetes; Pleosporales; Pleosporaceae.
GUAGUCAUAUGCUUGUCUCAAAGAUUAAGCCAUGCAUGUCUAAGUAUAAGCAAUUAUACCGUGAAACUGCGAAUGGCUCAUUAAAUCAGUUAUCGUUUAUUUGAUAAUACCUUACUACUUGGAUAACCGUGGUAAUUCUAGAGCUAAUACAUGCUGAAAAUCCCGACUUCGGAAGGGAUGUGUUUAUUAGAUAAAAAACCAAUGCCCUUCGGGGCUCCUUGGUGAUUCAUGAUAACUUUACGGAUCGCAUAGCCUUGCGCUGGCGACGGUUCAUUCAAAUUUCUGCCCUAUCAACUUUCGAUGGUAAGGUAUUGGCUUACCAUGGUUUCAACGGGUAACGGGGAAU